Molecule: ribosomal RNA, 327 nt
Filed under: Triticum aestivum (bread wheat)
Lineage: Eukaryota; Viridiplantae; Streptophyta; Magnoliopsida; Poales; Poaceae
Description: partial small subunit ribosomal RNA
Source: RNAcentral
AUGAUGAGCUACCUUUCGUCAAAACAAAUUCCAAUUCUUACAAGGUUAGGCGACUUUAUUUGGAGACAACCGAUUCUAACUGUGAAAACAAGCACCAAGCAAUCCAGGACAGGGCAACUGGAGUGGAUGAUGCUGUGCAAUGAGGCCUCUGAUAUACGAACCCGCACAAGUGAAAGUUUCUUGAGAAAUGGGAGUCGAAGGUUUAGUACCAGAUUGUCUGGUAGGUCACACAGCGCAAAACUGGCGGUGUGGAGAGAGGAGGAAAACCGCGAGAUGGACAUCGGUGCUGAGGGCACAGGUAGAUGGCCUUCGGUAUUUGGUAGGUGA